GUGGGGAAUAUUGGACAAUGGGCGAAAGCCUGAUCCAGCCAUGCCGCGUGUGUGAAGAAGGUCUUCGGAUUGUAAAGCACUUUAAGCGAGGAGGAGGCUACCGAGAUUAAUACUCUUGGAUAGUGGACGUUACUCGCAGAAUAAGCACCGGCUAACUCUGUGCCAGCAGCCGCGGUAAUACAGAGGGUGCAAGCGUUAAUCGGAUUUACUGGGCGUAAAGCGCGCGUAGGUGGUUUUGUAAGUUGGAGGUGAAAUCCCCGGGCUCAACCUGGGAACUGCCUCCAAAACUGCAUGACUAGAGUACGGUAGAGGGUAGUGGAAUUUCCUGUGUAGCGGUGAAAUGCGUAGAUAUAGGAAGGAACACCAGUGGCGAAGGCGACUACCUGGACUGAUACUGACACUGAGGUGCGAAAGCGUGGGGAGCAAACAGGAUUAGAAACCCGAGUAGUCC
This 451-nucleotide ribosomal RNA is filed under the name uncultured bacterium. Its description in RNAcentral is "partial 16S ribosomal RNA". It matches the Rfam family "Bacterial small subunit ribosomal RNA", at positions 354 to 796 of the family's 1533-position model. The record is from RNAcentral.